Mercurialis annua (annual mercury) is the source of this 945-nucleotide long non-coding RNA. RefSeq lists it as uncharacterized. Lineage: Eukaryota; Viridiplantae; Streptophyta; Magnoliopsida; Malpighiales; Euphorbiaceae. The transcript has 4 exons. The record is from RefSeq and is a predicted model, not a curated record.
UCAUGUGUAUUGUCUAUGCUUCACGUUUCUUUUUGUUCUAAACCUAAAGCUUCAUUAGCCGCCACCCCUUUUCCUUUUCAAACUCAGAAAUCAUAACCUUCAUCAUCCAAUUCCCAUUAGAUCCAAGUAACACUUCUAAUCCGGAAGUUCUUCGACGAUUCACAUUGACUCGACGUUCUCUUUGAUCCCUACGUUUCGGAAUCACAUACGACCCGUCGACUGUUCGUACUUCAGAGGCGAACCAGAGUUAGAUUGCUUGUCAGGAUCACGUGGAUUUAGCAAGCAGUUUAUGAUUUGAGCUUUGGUAGAUCUCCGUUUCUUCAUUCUCGGAGGUUCUUUAUUUAUUUCAGAAAUAAAGUGUCGAACUAUUUUAAACUCUUAGACCGCAGUAGUAGUUUCAUAUUAUUCAUGUCUUAGUCUUACAUUUAUAUUUUAGACUAUUGUUGUUGGAUUGGUCCAACUAUUACUUAUCGCUUGUGGCAUGAUUCAGUGUUAUGGAGUUUUUAUUAUAUUGCCAUGUUGGAGUUUAUUUGAGAUAAAGCGUACUUUAAAUAUAUGCUGCUUAUCUGUACUGCUAGAUUAGGCUGAAGUCUCGGUUGCCCCCGAGCAUGUGGUUUUCUGCAGGUACUUUGUUUUAAAUGUAAUUAAGUUGUUAUCCGCAAGGCUUGCUACGGGUUUUGGUACAACCAUACCCAUACCCUAGCGCCGGUCACGAUUCUUGAAAAUGGGUCGUGACAAACUUGGUAUCAGAGCUUUGGUUUCAAACCAAGGCCUUUUUAAAUGUUAAUUGUUUAAUUAUUUUGGCAUGCUAAGUGGUUAAUUUACCCUAGGAACUACUGCGGAAUUAGGAUUCGAGUCUUGUCUUUGAAACGUCAUCUUUUGUUUUCAAAACUUUCUGCCUACUCCAAUAGGAAUGUCGUGAGUCAGUCGUGUGAAUUUAUUUGC